GACCUGAGAGGGUGAUCGGCCACACUGGGACUGAGACACGGCCCAGACUCCUACGGGAGGCAGCAGUAGGGAAUCUUCCGCAAUGGACGAAAGUCUGACGGAGCAACGCCGCGUGAGUGAUGAAGGUUUUCGGAUCGUAAAACUCUGUUGUUAGGGAAGAACAAGUGCCGGAGUAACUGCCGGUACCUUGACGGUACCUAACCAGAAAGCCACGGCUAACUACGUGCCAGCAGCCGCGGUAAUACGUAGGUGGCAAGCGUUGUCCGGAAUUAUUGGGCGUAAAGCGCGCGCAGGCGGUUCCUUAAGUCUGAUGUGAAAGCCCCCGGCUCAACCGGGGAGGGUCAUUGGAAACUG
Molecule: ribosomal RNA, 354 nt
Filed under: bacterium LimB-100-J-203
Lineage: Bacteria
Description: bacterial SSU rRNA
Rfam family: Bacterial small subunit ribosomal RNA
Source: RNAcentral